This 465-nucleotide ribosomal RNA is filed under the name uncultured bacterium. Its description in RNAcentral is "partial 16S ribosomal RNA". It matches the Rfam family "Bacterial small subunit ribosomal RNA", at positions 28 to 507 of the family's 1533-position model. The record is from RNAcentral.
GACGAACGCUGGCGGCGUGCUUAACACAUGCAAGUCGAACGGAAAGGCCCCUUUGGGGGUACUCGAGUGGCGAACGGGUGAGUAACACGUGAGUAACCUGCCCUUGACUUCGGGAUAACUUCAGGAAACUGGGGCUAAUACCGGAUAGGAAUCCUUGCUGCAUGGUGGGGGGUGGAAAGCUUCGGGGGUUUUGGAUGGACUCGCGGCUUAUCAGCUUGUUGGUGGGGUAGUGGCUUACCAAGGCUUUGACGGGUAGCCGGCCUGAGAGGGCGACCGGCCACAUUGGGACUGGGAUACGGCCCAGGCUCCUACGGGAGGCAGCAGUGGGGAAUAUUGCACAAUGGGCGGAAGCCUGAUGCAGCAACGCCGCGUGGGGGAUGACGGCCUUCGGGUUGUAAACCGCUUUCAGCAGGGGCGAAGCUUGUGGUGACGGUACCUGCAGAAGAAGCACCGGCUAACUACGUG